Poecilia latipinna (sailfin molly) is the source of this 241-nucleotide long non-coding RNA. RefSeq lists it as uncharacterized. Lineage: Eukaryota; Metazoa; Chordata; Actinopteri; Cyprinodontiformes; Poeciliidae. The transcript has 3 exons. The record is from RefSeq and is a predicted model, not a curated record.
UUGAUUACGUUUUGCAGCCAAGUAUGGACAUUUAUUAGUUUUUUUGUUUUUAAUUUUUCAGGAUUGCAUCGCAACACCUCGUGAUGCGUUUCUGAGCCAUGAUCGCUGUGCCGAUUACCUUUCCAUUGGAUCCAAGCACCUGGACCAGCUGACGGCGUCCAUCAGUCCACGGUCUGCCGGAUCAUCACAACGUGGACUAACUUUUUUUUUUUUUACAGCACUUGGCGGGCGAAAGCUAAAG